Molecule: long non-coding RNA, 1582 nt
Filed under: Homo sapiens (human)
Lineage: Eukaryota; Metazoa; Chordata; Mammalia; Primates; Hominidae
Description: novel transcript, antisense to LIPA
Source: RNAcentral
UCUCUUUUCUCUCCACUUCCCUGGGGGACAAACACCCCACCCCUUCCCCAUGUUCCUGGGGUGCAAGAACCCCCCACCCCUUCUCUCUGUGUCUCUACCCUCUCUUUUCUCUGGACUUGCCUCCUUCACUAUAGGCAAACUUCCACCCUCCAUUCCUCCUUCUUCUCCCUUAGCCUGUGUUCUCAAGAACUUAAAACCUCUUCAACUCACACCCGACUUAAAACCCAAAUGCCUUAUUUUCUUCUGCAAUGCCACUUAACCCCAAUACAAACUCGACAGUGGUUCCAAAGAGCCAUAAAAUGGCACUUUUGAUUUCUCCAUCCUACAACACCUAGAUAAUUUUUGUCGAAAAAUGGGCAAAUGGUCUGAGGUGCCUGACGUCCAGGCAUUCUUUUACACAUCGGUCCCUCGUCCCUCCCUAAUCUCUGUUCCCAAUGCAACUCAUCCCAAAUCUUCCUUCUUUCCCUCCUGCCUGUCCCCUCAGUUCCAACCCCAAGUGUCACUAAGUCUUUCCAAUCUUCCUUUUCUACGGACCCAUCUGACCUCUCCCCUCCUCCCCAGGCUGCUCCUAGCCAGGCCGAGCCAGUUCCAAUUCUCCCUUAGCCUCCGCUCCCCCACCCUAUAAUCCUUCUAUCACCUCCCCUCCUCACACCCAGUCCAGCUUCCAGUUUCGUUCUGCGACUAGCCCUCCCGGACCUGCCCAGCAAUUUCCUCUUAAAAAGGUGGCUGGAGCUAAAGGCAUAGUCAAGGUUAAUGCUCCUUUUUCUUUAUCCAACCUCUCCCAAAUCAGUUAGCGUUUAGGCUCUUUUUCAUCAAAUAUAAAAACCCAGCCCAGUUCAUGGCUUGUUUGGCAUCAACCCUGAGAUGCUUUACAGCCCUAGACCCUGAAAGGUCAAAAGGCCGUCUUAUUCUCAAUAUACGUUUUAUUACCCAAUCUGCUCCCAACAUUAAAUAAAACUCCAAAAAUUAAAUUCCGGCCCUCAAACCCCACAAUAGGAUUUAAUUAACCUUGCCUUCAAGGUGUACAAUAAUAGAGUAGAGUCAGCCAAGUAACAAUGUAUUUCUGAGUUGCAAUUCCUUGCCUCCACUGUGAGAGAAACCCCAGCCACAUCUCCAGCACACAAGAACUUCAAAAUGCCUAAGCCGCAGCAGUCAAGCAUUCCUAGAGGACCUUCUCCAUCAGGAUCUUGCUUCAAGUGCCAGAAAUCUGGCCACUGGGCCAAGGAAUGCCCACAGCCCGGGAUUCCUCCUAAGCUGUGUCCCAUCUGUGUGGGACCCCACUGAAAAUCAGACUGUCCAGCUCACCUGGCAGCCACUCCCAGAGCCCCUGGAACUCUGGCCCAAGGCUCUCUGAUUGACUUCUUCCCAGAUCUUCUGGGCUUAGUGGCUGAAGACUGACACUGCCCGAUCACCUGAGAAGCCUCCUGGACCAUCACAGAUGCUUUAGGCUCUAGGGGAUGGUAGAGUCACAGGAUGGAAGAACUCUGUGUCCUUGAAUCAUUGCAUGGAAGAGAACUGGAAGUUGCCCAGGAACACCAGCCUUGGACAGUUAUGUGAACAAGAAAUAAACUUCUUUUACAGU